RNAcentral lists this long non-coding RNA (736 nucleotides) under Rhopalosiphum maidis (corn leaf aphid). RNAcentral's name for it is "uncharacterized LOC113549481, transcript variant X2". Lineage: Eukaryota; Metazoa; Arthropoda; Insecta; Hemiptera; Aphididae. The record is from RNAcentral.
UCGUACGGGUGGAGUAUUUCACUACACAGCAGGUCUGCAGACCACAAACACUCAUUAUUUUGUCUUUUCCUAAAAUUUACGAGUGUACGACUUUGACGUGCAAAAGUUUACCGGCACUACGGUACCAUGUAUUCAAUCGAUGCGCCUUUACUUGAAGCUACAUUUACAUCGCAAUAUAACAGGGGUCACCAAUUAAUAUUUUUGAAGGGCCACAUUAGGAACCUGAAAAUUUUUCGUGGGCCUUCAAAAUUCAAAAAAUUCACUGUCGGUGUCAAGUAUUCAAGUUGAACUUACAAAUUAAUCAUAAAGAAUGUUGAAGACGUUCGGCAGUAUCCGGUCAAGGAUUCGGUUCAGUUGAUCGUACCGGCCGAGAACUCGGUCCUUUGACAUUAUCCAAUUAUUUGACGGUUUUUCGGCGAACAGUAUCCGUGAACAAUAUGCAUAGUAUCAUUCUCGAAAACUUCGAGGAGUCUUUCACAGUUAUCUUUGCGCCGAAUAGAAUCUAUGAAACGACCAGAAUCCCCAAGCAAUACGGAAUACUCCAAUUUGCGGCACUUGUAACUGGCUGUUGACGCGAUUAUGAUAUAAGCACGACGACUUCAAUUUGGAACAAUUCUAAAUACUUGGCGAACGGCUCGAGAGCAAUAAUAUAAAAGUGACAGAAUAAACUUGUGUACGACUCAACUAACUCUGUGUAAAAUUUAAAAUUAAUUAUAAAACUACGAUUUUUAACAUA